UUGCGCCUGCGGCGGGCCCGGCACGGACCCUUUUGACCGGCUUCGCAGGCAGCCGGUCCGUGUACGGUCUGGUACAUCCCGGAAUUUCCGGGAUUUAAGGAUUUCU
RNAcentral lists this small RNA (106 nucleotides) under bovine gut metagenome. RNAcentral describes it as "RT-5 RNA". It matches the Rfam family "RT-5 RNA". Rfam says of the family: Clostridium (Firmicutes). Environment (Cow rumen (57)) The record is from RNAcentral.